RNAcentral lists this ribosomal RNA (385 nucleotides) under uncultured bacterium. Its description in RNAcentral is "bacterial SSU rRNA". It matches the Rfam family "Bacterial small subunit ribosomal RNA", at positions 30 to 418 of the family's 1533-position model. The record is from RNAcentral.
AUUGAACGCUGGCGGCAUGCCUUACACAUGCAAGUCGAACGGCAGCGGACCUUCGGGUGCCGGCGAGUGGCGAACGGGUGAGUAAUAUAUCGGAACGUACCUUUCAGUGGGGGAUAACGUAGCGAAAGUUACGCUAAUACCGCAUACGCCCUGAGGGGGAAAGUGGGGACCGCAAGGCCUCACGUUAUACGAGCGGCCGAUGUCGGAUUAGCUAGUUGGUGGGGUAAAGGCCUACCAAGGCGACGAUCCGUAGCGGGUCUGAGAGGAUGAUCCGCCACACUGGGACUGAGACACGGCCCAGACUCCUACGGGAGGCAGCAGUGGGGAAUUUUGGACAAUGGGCGCAAGCCUGAUCCAGCCAUGCCGCGUGAGUGAAGAAGGCCUC